CCUACGGGAGGCAGCAGUGAGGAAUAUUGGUCAAUGGACGCAAGUCUGAACCAGCCAUGCCGCGUGCAGGAAGACGGUCCUAUGGAUUGUAAACUGCUUUUGUACGGGAAGAAACACUCCUACGUGUAGGAGCCUGACGGUACCGUAAGAAUAAGGAUCGGCUAACUCCGUGCCAGCAGCCGCGGUAAUACGGAGGAUCCAAGCGUUAUCCGGAAUCAUUGGGUUUAAAGGGUCCGUAGGCGGUUUAAUAAGUCAGUGGUGAAAUCUGGUCGCUCAACGAUCAAACUGCCAUUGAUACUGUUAGACUUGAAUUACUGUGAAGUAACUAGAAUAUGUAGUGUAGCGGUGAAAUGCUUAGAUAUUACAUGGAAUACCAAUUGCGAAGGCAGGUUACUAACAGUUGAUUGACGCUGAUGGACGAAAGCGUGGGGAGCGAACAGGAUUAGAUACCCUGGUAGUCCACGCCGUAAACGAUGGAUACUAGUUGUUUGGAUUUAUCUGAGUGACUAAGCGAAAGUGAUAAGUAUCCACCUGGGGAGUACGAACGCAAGUUUGAAACUUCAAAUGAUUAGAGNGNGNGAGNGCGACGACGACGACGAGGAGGAGG
This 607-nucleotide ribosomal RNA is filed under the name uncultured bacterium. RNAcentral's name for it is "bacterial SSU rRNA". It matches the Rfam family "Bacterial small subunit ribosomal RNA", at positions 338 to 944 of the family's 1533-position model. The record is from RNAcentral.